RNAcentral lists this long non-coding RNA (461 nucleotides) under Canis lupus dingo (dingo). RNAcentral describes it as "lncRNA (ENSCAFG00020012588.1)". The record is from RNAcentral. Lineage: Eukaryota; Metazoa; Chordata; Mammalia; Carnivora; Canidae.
CGGGCGCCGGGCGGGGGAGGAGCCUCGCGGCGUCGCGUGCGGUCCCGGGCCACCCGGGUCCGUCUGCCGCAAUCCUCAGGCAUCCGCAGCCCCCGCGCCGUAGCUCGCGGCGCCCGGGGUGAUUACGGGCUGCCUCUGUCCUGGUCAUUGGUAACACAGGAUGAGGAGAAGCUGCAAGGUUUUCUUGAUGUUCACAGGUUCCAAAAUGGGACAGCCUGAGGUGACGGAGCACGACGAGGAGGGUCUCAUGUCUGCUGUCCCACAUAUGUGAGAGGUGACCUCCGGGAGAACCAGGAUCGGGAGGUCCCAGGUGGGUCUGCACUUGCAGAGGCACCAUGAGAGGUGUCAUCUCUUCAGUGGGCACGAGGCCAUGGGGCCCAAGGUAAGGUGUUCACAUCUCUCUGGAAUCUUGUGCCCUGGGGUUUAAAUGAGAAGUGAGAUGAAAGUGUAUGUCUUGUGAG